This 116-nucleotide ribosomal RNA is filed under the name Klebsiella pneumoniae. The record is from RNAcentral. Lineage: Bacteria; Pseudomonadati; Pseudomonadota; Gammaproteobacteria; Enterobacterales; Enterobacteriaceae.
GAGACCGGCACUAGCGCGGUGGUCGCCCCUGACCCCAUGCCGAACUCAGAAGUUAAACGCCGUAGCGCCGAUGGUAGUGUGGAGUCUCCCCAUGUGAGAGUAGGGAGCUGCCAUGC